RNAcentral lists this ribosomal RNA (491 nucleotides) under uncultured bacterium. RNAcentral's name for it is "partial 16S ribosomal RNA". It matches the Rfam family "Bacterial small subunit ribosomal RNA", at positions 29 to 506 of the family's 1533-position model. The record is from RNAcentral.
AGUGAACGCUGGCGGUAGGCCUAACACAUGCAAGUCGAACGGCAGCACAGUAAGAGCUUGCUCUUACGGGUGGCGAGUGGCGGACGGGUGAGGAAUACAUCGGAAUCUACUUUUUCGUGGGGGAUAACGUAGGGAAACUUACGCUAAUACCGCAUACGACCUACGGGUGAAAGCAGGGGAUCUUCGGACCUUGCGCGAUUGAAUGAGCCGAUGUCGGAUUAGCUAGUUGGCGGGGUAAAGGCCCACCAAGGCGACGAUCCGUAGCUGGUCUGAGAGGAUGAUCAGCCAAACUGGAAUUGAGAAACGGUCCAGACUCCUACGGGAGGCAGCAGUGGGGAAUAUUGGAAAAUGGGCGCAAGCCUGAUCCAGCCAUACCGCGUGGGUGAAGAAGGCCUUCGGGUUGUAAAACCCUUUUGUUGGGAAAGAAAAGCAGCAGGUUAAUACCCCGCUGUUCUGACGGUACCCAAAGAAUAAGCACCGGCUAACUUCGU